GUGGGGAAUUGUUCGCAAUGGGCGCAAGCCUGACGACGCAACGCCGCGUGGAGGAUGAAGAUCUUCGGGUCGUAAACUCCUUUCGAUCGGGACGAAUGAUCGGUGACCUAAUACGUCAUCGGAAUGACGGUACCGAGAGAAGAAGCCCCGGCUAACUCCGUGCCAGCAGCCGCGGUAAUACGGGGGGGGCAAGCGUUGUUCGGAAUUACUGGGCGUAAAGGGCGCGUAGGCGGCCUUCUAAGUCGGACGUGAAAUCCCUCGGCUUAACCGAGGAACUGCGUCCGAUACUGAAAGGCUUGAAUCCGGGAGAGGGAUGUGGAAUUCCAGGUGUAGCGGUGAAAUGCGUAGAUAUCUGGAGGAACACCGGUGGCGAAGGCGGCAUCCUGGACCGGCAUUGACGCUGAGGCGCGAAAGCUAGGGGAGCAAACGGGAUUAGAAACCCUGGUAGUCC
This 451-nucleotide ribosomal RNA is filed under the name uncultured bacterium. Its description in RNAcentral is "bacterial SSU rRNA". It matches the Rfam family "Bacterial small subunit ribosomal RNA", at positions 354 to 796 of the family's 1533-position model. The record is from RNAcentral.